CAAGCGGUUCAUGCAGAUCAA
Molecule: non-coding RNA, 21 nt
Filed under: Arabidopsis thaliana (thale cress)
Lineage: Eukaryota; Viridiplantae; Streptophyta; Magnoliopsida; Brassicales; Brassicaceae
Source: RNAcentral